CCCCUUAGAUGUUCUGGGCCGCACACGCGCUACACUGAAGGAGGCAGCGUGUACUCCUGGAUCGAAAGAUUUGGGUAACCCGCGAAUCUCCUUCGUGCUAGGGAUUGAGGUUUGCAAUUAUCCUUCAUGAACGAGGAAUUCCCAGUAAGUGCAAGUCAUAAGCUUGCGCUGACUACGUCCCUGCCCUUUGUACACACCGCCCGUCGCUACUACCGAUUGAAUGAUUUAGUGAGGACUUCGGACUGGGACCGAUGCGGCUUUCGGGCUGCGUCGGUAUUCUGGAAAGAUGUCCAAACUGUAUCAUUUAGAGGAAGUAAAAGUCGUANCA
RNAcentral lists this ribosomal RNA (328 nucleotides) under uncultured eukaryote. Its description in RNAcentral is "partial 18S ribosomal RNA". It matches the Rfam family "Eukaryotic small subunit ribosomal RNA", at positions 1469 to 1796 of the family's 1831-position model. The record is from RNAcentral.